RNAcentral lists this ribosomal RNA (253 nucleotides) under uncultured bacterium. RNAcentral's name for it is "partial 16S ribosomal RNA". It matches the Rfam family "Bacterial small subunit ribosomal RNA", at positions 524 to 776 of the family's 1533-position model. The record is from RNAcentral.
GACGAACCACCCAAACGUUAUUCGGAAUUACUGGGCUUAAAGGGUGCGUAGGUGGUGCGGAAAGUUGGGUGUGAAAUCCCUCGGCUUAACCGAGGAAUUGCGCUCAAAACUACCGUGCUCGAGGGAGAUAGAGGAAUGCGGAACUUACGGUGGAGCGGCGAAAUGCGUUGAUAUCGUAGGGAACACCGGUGGCGAAAGCGGCAUUCUGGAUCUCUUCUGACGCUGAUGCACGAAAGCUAGGGUAGCAAACAGG